Molecule: unclassified non-coding RNA, 181 nt
Filed under: rhizosphere metagenome
Description: partial ribosomal RNA internal transcribed spacer region
Source: RNAcentral
GAGUUAACAACUCCCAAACCCCUAUGUGAACCUAUAACAAACGUUGCUUCGGCGGGAUCGCCCCGGCCCAGCCCGGAACCAGGCGCCCGCCGAGGACUCCCUAAAUCAUGUUUCCUACAGUUUCUUCUGAGUGGCAAACGCAAAAUAAAUUAAAACUUUUAACAACGGAUCUCUUGGCUCU